Molecule: non-coding RNA, 21 nt
Filed under: Arabidopsis thaliana (thale cress)
Lineage: Eukaryota; Viridiplantae; Streptophyta; Magnoliopsida; Brassicales; Brassicaceae
Source: RNAcentral
CACGGUCGAAGAAGUAACUGC